This 112-nucleotide ribosomal RNA is filed under the name Riccia nigrella. Its description in RNAcentral is "partial 26S large subunit ribosomal RNA". It matches the Rfam family "Eukaryotic large subunit ribosomal RNA", at positions 1 to 111 of the family's 3401-position model. RNAcentral also lists the same sequence under 1 other name. The record is from RNAcentral. Lineage: Eukaryota; Viridiplantae; Streptophyta; Marchantiopsida; Marchantiales; Ricciaceae.
CUGACCUCAGAUCAGGCGAGACCACCCGCUGAGUUUAAGCAUAUCACUAAGCGGAGGAAAAGAAACUAACAAGGAUUCCCUUAGUAGCGGCGAGCGAACCGGGAAGAGCCCA